RNAcentral lists this ribosomal RNA (349 nucleotides) under Bacillus subtilis subsp. subtilis. RNAcentral's name for it is "bacterial SSU rRNA". It matches the Rfam family "Bacterial small subunit ribosomal RNA", at positions 1127 to 1474 of the family's 1533-position model. Lineage: Bacteria; Bacillati; Bacillota; Bacilli; Caryophanales; Bacillaceae. The record is from RNAcentral.
UCAGUUGGGCACUCUAAGGUGACUGCCGGUGACAAACCGGAGGAAGGUGGGGAUGACGUCAAAUCAUCAUGCCCCUUAUGACCUGGGCUACACACGUGCUACAAUGGACAGAACAAAGGGCAGCGAAACCGCGAGGUUAAGCCAAUCCCACAAAUCUGUUCUCAGUUCGGAUCGCAGUCUGCAACUCGACUGCGUGAAGCUGGAAUCGCUAGUAAUCGCGGAUCAGCAUGCCGCGGUGAAUACGUUCCCGGGCCUUGUACACACCGCCCGUCACACCACGAGAGUUUGUAACACCCGAAGUCGGUGAGGUAACCUUUUAGGAGCCAGCCGCCGAAGGUGGGACAGAUGA